UACGUAGGGCGCAAGCGUUGUCCGGAAUUAUUGGGCGUAAAGAGCUCGUAGGCGGUUUGUCGCGUCUGGUGUGAAAACCCGAGGCUCAACCUCGGGCUGGCAUCGGGUACGGGCAGACUAGAGUGCGGUAGGGGAGACUGGAAUUCCUGGUGUAGCGGUGGAAUGCGCAGAUAUCAGGAGGAACACCGAUGGCGAAGGCAGGUCUCUGGGCCGCAACUGACGCUGAGGAGCGAAAGCAUGGGGAGCGAACAGG
This 253-nucleotide ribosomal RNA is filed under the name uncultured bacterium. RNAcentral's name for it is "partial 16S ribosomal RNA". It matches the Rfam family "Bacterial small subunit ribosomal RNA", at positions 524 to 776 of the family's 1533-position model. The record is from RNAcentral.